AACGAACGCUGGCGGCAGGCCUAACACAUGCAAGUCGAGCGAACCCUUCGGGGUUAGCGGCGGACGGGUUAGUAACGCGUGGGAAUAUACCCUUUGGUACGGAAUAGCCUCGGGAAACUGAGAGUAAUACCGUAUGUGCCCUUCGGGGAAAGAUUUAUCGCCAAAGGAUUAGCCCGCGUUGGAUUAGAUAGUUGGUGGGGUAAUGGCCUACCAAGUCUACGAUCCAUAGCUGGUUUGAGAGGAUGAUCAGCAACACUGGGACUGAGACACGGCCCAGACUCCUACGGGAGGCAGCAGUGGGGAAUCUUAGACAAUGGGCGCAAGCCUGAUCUAGCCAUGCCGCGUGGACGAUGAAGGCCUUAGGGUUGUAAAGUCCUUUCAGAUGGGAAGAUAAUGACGGUACCAUCAGAAGAAGCCCCGGCUAACUCCGUGCCAGCAGCCGCGGUAAUGUCUGUACU
RNAcentral lists this ribosomal RNA (458 nucleotides) under uncultured bacterium. Its description in RNAcentral is "bacterial SSU rRNA". It matches the Rfam family "Bacterial small subunit ribosomal RNA", at positions 29 to 531 of the family's 1533-position model. The record is from RNAcentral.